Crotalus tigris (Tiger rattlesnake) is the source of this 708-nucleotide long non-coding RNA. RefSeq lists it as uncharacterized. The transcript is spliced from 2 exons. The record is from RefSeq and is a predicted model, not a curated record. Lineage: Eukaryota; Metazoa; Chordata; Lepidosauria; Squamata; Viperidae.
GAGAACUGGAGAGUAGAGCAAAGUCAGGUUAUAGGAUGGGGCCAUCAUUUAAAUCAGGGGUCCCCAACCCCCGGGACCGCAGCAUGCCAGCAACUGGUCCACACAAACAAGCAAAGCCCCAUCCAUGGGAUGCAGGCAGCACACAGAACCAUGCACUCUCCGGUCCACAGAAAAACCUUUCUCCAUGGAACCAGUCCCUGGUGUCCAAUAGAUGGAGGACCUCUGAUUUAAAUGGAUGUGAGAUUUGCUAUCCACCAAGGCUCAACAUGAAGGCAAUGCUGCAUAAACACUUGGUUAAUCAAUAUGCAGGCAAACAAAUAAGUGUUGGAAGGUGCCUUAUUCAACGCAGAUACAGAUUCAAAAAGGCUUAACAGAAUAACAGAACAAAAUAACAAGAGUUGGAAGGGACCCUGCAUCAUUCCAGACAAGUGGCUGUCCAGUCUCUUCUUCUAGUGAGAAGAAGCACCCACGACUUCCACUGUUGGAGCACACACAAUUUCUGAAGGCAAGUUGUUCCAUUGGUUUAUUGUUUUCGCUGUCAGAUUUCUCCGUAGUUCUAGGUUGGUUUUCUUCUUGAUAACUUUCCAUUGAUUACUUCUUGUCCUCUGAAGAAUAGUGUGACUCCCUCUUCUUUGUGGCAACCCCUUAGAUAUUGAAACACUGCUAUCAUGUCAUCCCUAGUCCUUCUCUUCAUUAAACUAGACAUAC